RNAcentral lists this ribosomal RNA (403 nucleotides) under bacterium. RNAcentral's name for it is "partial 16S ribosomal RNA". It matches the Rfam family "Bacterial small subunit ribosomal RNA", at positions 355 to 776 of the family's 1533-position model. The record is from RNAcentral.
UGGGGAAUAUUGCACAAUGGGGGAAACCCUGAUGCAGCGACGCCGAGUGAACGAAGAAGGUAUUCGUAUCGUAAAGUUCUGUCCUAUGGGAAGAUAAUGACAGUACCAUAGAAGAAAGCUCCGGCUAAAUACGUGCCAGCAGCCGCGGUAAUACGUAUGGAGCGAGCGUUGUCCGGAAUUAUUGGGCGUAAAGGGUACGCAGGCGGUUUAAUAAGUCGAAUGUUAAAGAUCGGGGCUCAACCCCGCAAAGCAUUGGAAACUGAUAAACUUGAGUAGUGGAGAGGAAAGUGGAAUUCCUAGUGUAGUGGUGAAAUACGUAGAUAUUAGGAGGAAUACCAGUAGCGAAGGCGACUUUCUGGACACAAACUGACGCUGAGGUACGAAAGCGUGGGGAGCAAACAGG